GCGCUUCUUUUGGUCCAUAUUCUCUGGCUCAUAUUACUCGGUUUUUCUUUGCUAUUUGGUCUUUUCUAAUUUGAAAGAAGCAAAAUUUAUCUUUCCUUUUAUUAUUUUGCUUCUUUUGCUGCUGUUGUAUGAGGCCGGUUUGGCAUAGUUAGACAUUGUGCGAGAGAUUUCUUUCAUGUAUGUGUAGUAGAAAUUCUUGAAUUAAUAACAAAUGCAAUAUGAUUCUUUGCAAAAAAAUAAAAGGAAAGAUAAAUUUUGCUUCUU
This 264-nucleotide unclassified non-coding RNA is filed under the name Hevea brasiliensis (rubber tree). Lineage: Eukaryota; Viridiplantae; Streptophyta; Magnoliopsida; Malpighiales; Euphorbiaceae. The record is from RNAcentral.